RNAcentral lists this long non-coding RNA (1529 nucleotides) under Medicago truncatula (barrel medic). RNAcentral's name for it is "long non-coding RNA (MTRU_LNC000497)". Lineage: Eukaryota; Viridiplantae; Streptophyta; Magnoliopsida; Fabales; Fabaceae. The record is from RNAcentral.
ACUACAAGAAAUUUAGCAUUUUGCGACCCCUAAUUUGCGACCCUUGCUCUAAAACUGCCUCAGAUGUCAUUUUGAGGCAGUUGCUGCGACAGUUUUUCCUAACAGCCGCAAGGUUUUAAGUGAUUUUCCACAUAAGCUCUACCAAUUACUCAAUCACAAUUGAGGCAGUUGCUGCUUCUGCAUGUAGUUUCUCCGAUUCAUCACAAGGUUCGUGUGAUUCUCAGUUUUUUCGUUCUCAAUUUUGAUUCUCAGUUUUGUAGUUCAUUCAUUACUUCGCGACAUUUUUCAGCUUCUGCAUGUAAUUGAAUCUAUGUAAUUUCUUGAUUUCAGAUUUACGUUCUCAGUUGUGGGCAAUUUGGUUUCGUCGUCGAGUUUCGUGUUGUUCGUAUCUCAGCUACUUCACUUUACAAAGGUAAAAUUUAUUCAUUUGAAUCUUUGUUAUUGGUAUAGAAAAAAUCGAGAAAUUACUUGAAAUAGAAAUAAGAUUUUUGUUGAAUCUUAGUUUGGAUUGUUUGCUUGGUUUGUUUUGCUUGUUUCUAUUUCUCUUUUUUUAUCAAAAAAGGGUAUCACAUAAUGCUUUUGAUUUUGGAUCUGUUGCAUUUUUCUGUGAAAUUUUGGUUUUUAAUCAUACCCUUUUGGUAUUUGCUGCUACUAUUUGGUGCUCUAAAGGUGUGUUUAUGCGUCGUUAAUUUGUGGUUAGACCAGACAACUUGCUUCACUAUUGAUAUUGAUUUUCAAAUGAAAGAGUUGCUUGAUUUGUGUUCUUAUAACAGGUAGAAAUUAGAACUAAACACUAUACUACAAUGAUAUCAUGUCAGAUGCUUUCUAUACCACGCAAUGGUAGUUUUAGGACAAUUUUAUAUCUUUGAAUUUCCAAUUUAAUCUUAACACGAAACUUGUUUUGUGGGUUGUUUUGUUUGAGUAACUUACUGGUUUGGUCAUGUAUUGUAAAAUUGUUUGCUAUAAUUUAAUUUUAUUUCUGUUAUUAACUCGAGUCUUCGAAUGUUACGUGCUUAAUCUAUGUAAUGUUUGAUGCACCACAGUGGUUCAAAUGUCAUAGACUUUUCUGAUUUUGUGCACUAAAGCAUUUGUUAUUGCUGCAAGCUCAAGUGAACUUUUUUAUGAAAUGAAUUAACAUGAUCUAGUAUUGCGCAAGAUAAAUCUUCAUAAUUUUGAGAUAAGUUAAUUUGUUUCUUUGAGACCAGAGAGUUUCUAGUUCCAAACAAAAGAGGAUGGUAAAAAAAACAAAGGUGAAGAAGAUGACGUCUUGGCACCAUACUCAAGUACUUGCGCAAAAGUGGAAUCAUGCACAGUGACAAUGCACCAAUGUCCUAUUGGUCAUUUCCGUCACGAAAUUCUUGUAAGUUGUCUGGAUAUAUUGCUUUUCGCUUUAUGUAUUUAUUUGUUUACGCUAAGUCGAUCUUGUAUUUAAGAGCAUGCAGCUGUGUUGAAUACAAUACUCAACAACUAUUGAUAUGUGGUCUCUUUAUUGUAUAGUGGGAGAUGGUGUGAGUCUUGUAUUUUAAUAA